Molecule: non-coding RNA, 18 nt
Filed under: Mus musculus (house mouse)
Lineage: Eukaryota; Metazoa; Chordata; Mammalia; Rodentia; Muridae
Source: RNAcentral
UAGAGAACAUCGACACAA